CCUACGGGUGGCAGCAGUGGGGAAUAUUGCACAAUGGGGGAAACCCUGAAGCAGCAACGCCGCGUGAGUGAAGAAGUAUUUCGGUAUGUAAAGCUCUAUCAGCCGGGAAGAAAAUGACAGUCCCUGACUAAGAAGCCCCGGCUAACUACGUGCCAGAAGCCGCGGUAAUACGUAGGGGGCAAGCGUUAACCGGAUUUACUGGGUGUAAAGGGAGCGAAGACGGCAGCGCAAGUCAGAAGUGAAAGCCCGGGGCUCAACCGCGGGACUGCUUUUGAAACUGUAUAGCUAGAGUGCAGGAGAGGUAAGUGGAAUUCGUAGUGUAGCGGUGAAAUGCGUAGAUAUUAGGAGGAACACCGGUGGCGAAGGCGUCUUACUGGACUGUAAUUGACGUUGAGGCUCGAAAGCGUGGGGAGCAAACAGGAUUAGAUACCCGUGUAGGC
This 440-nucleotide ribosomal RNA is filed under the name uncultured bacterium. Its description in RNAcentral is "partial 16S ribosomal RNA". It matches the Rfam family "Bacterial small subunit ribosomal RNA", at positions 338 to 795 of the family's 1533-position model. The record is from RNAcentral.